AUUGAACGCUGGCGGCAGGCUUAACACAUGCAAGUCGAGCGGGGUGAUGGUGCUUGCACUAUCACUUAGCGGCGGACGGGUGAGUAAUGCUUAGGAAUCUGCCUAUUAGUGGGGGACAACAUCUCGAAAGGGAUGCUAAUACCGCAUACGUCCUACGGGAGAGAGCAGAGGAUCACUUGUGACCUUGCGCUAAUAGAUGAGCCUAGGUCGGAGUAGCUAGUUGGUGGGGUAAAGGCCUACCAAGGCGACGAUCUGUAGCGGGUCUGAGAGGAUGAGCCGCCACACUGGGACUGAGACACGGCCCAGACUCCUACGGGAGGCAGCAGUGGGGAAUAUUGGACAAUGGGGGGAACCCUGAUCCAGCCAUGCCGCGUGUGUGAAGAAGGCCUUAUGGUUGUAAAGCACUUUAAGCGAGGAGGAGGCUCUUUUGGUUAAUACCCAAGAUGAGUGGACGUUACUCGCAGAAUAAGCACCGGCUAACUCUGUGCCAGCCGCCGCAGUAA
Molecule: ribosomal RNA, 503 nt
Filed under: uncultured bacterium
Lineage: Bacteria
Description: partial 16S ribosomal RNA
Rfam family: Bacterial small subunit ribosomal RNA
Source: RNAcentral